RNAcentral lists this ribosomal RNA (684 nucleotides) under uncultured Staphylococcus sp. Its description in RNAcentral is "bacterial SSU rRNA". It matches the Rfam family "Bacterial small subunit ribosomal RNA", at positions 60 to 726 of the family's 1533-position model. The record is from RNAcentral. Lineage: Bacteria; Bacillati; Bacillota; Bacilli; Caryophanales; Staphylococcaceae.
AGUCGAGCGAACAGACGAGGAGCUUGCUCCUCUGACGUUAGCGGCGGACGGGUGAGUAACACGUGGAUAACCUACCUAUAAGACUGGGAUAACUUCGGGAAACCGGAGCUAAUACCGGAUAAUAUAUUGAACCGCAUGGUUCAAUAGUGAAAGACGGUUUUGCUGUCACUUAUAGAUGGAUCCGCGCCGCAUUAGCUAGUUGGUAAGGUAACGGCUUACCAAGGCAACGAUGCGUAGCCGACCUGAGAGGGUGAUCGGCCACACUGGAACUGAGACACGGUCCAGACUCCUACGGGAGGCAGCAGUAGGGAAUCUUCCGCAAUGGGCGAAAGCCUGACGGAGCAACGCCGCGUGAGUGAUGAAGGUCUUCGGAUCGUAAAACUCUGUUAUUAGGGAAGAAUAAAUGUGUAAGUAACUAUGCACGUCUUGACGGUACCUAAUCAGAAAGCCACGGCUAACUACGUGCCAGCAGCCGCGGUAAUACGUAGGUGGCAAGCGUUAUCCGGAAUUAUUGGGCGUAAAGCGCGCGUAGGCGGUUUUUUAAGUCUGAUGUGAAAGCCCACGGCUCAACCGUGGAGGGUCAUUGGAAACUGGAAAACUUGAGUGCAGAAGAGGAAAGUGGAAUUCCAUGUGUAGCGGUGAAAUGCGCAGAGAUAUGGAGGAACACCAGUGGCGAAGGCGACU